UCACGGGAGCUGAAUAUUGAUUCGGCUGAGAGGGAACUUCCUUGUUCCGACCGCACCUGAUCCAGAUAAUACUGGCGUAGGAAUGUUGAUUUUUUA
Molecule: non-coding RNA, 96 nt
Filed under: uncultured Treponema sp.
Lineage: Bacteria; Pseudomonadati; Spirochaetota; Spirochaetia; Treponematales; Treponemataceae
Source: RNAcentral